CCUACGGGAGGCAGCAGUGGGGAAUAUUGCACAAUGGGGGGAACCCUGAUGCAGCGACGCCGCGUGAGUGAAGAAGGAUUUCGGUAUGUAAAGCUCUAUCAGCAGGGAAGAAAAUGACGGUACCUGACUAAGAAGCCCCGGCUAACUACGUGCCAGCAGCCGCGGUAAUACGUAGGGGGCAAGCGUUAUCCGGAUUUACUGGAUGUAAAGGGAGCGCAGACGGCUGUGCAAGUCUGGAGUGAAAGGCGGGGGCUCAACCCCAGGACUGCUCUGGAAACUGUAAAGCUGGAGUGUAGGAGAGGUAGGUGGAAUUCCUGGUGUAGCGGUGAAAUGCGUAGAGAUCAGGAGGAACACCAGUGGCGAAGGCGACCUACUGGACGGCAACUGACGCUGAGGCGCGAAAGCGUGGGGAGCAAACAGGAUUAGAUACCCCUGUAGUC
This 440-nucleotide ribosomal RNA is filed under the name uncultured bacterium. RNAcentral describes it as "partial 16S ribosomal RNA". It matches the Rfam family "Bacterial small subunit ribosomal RNA", at positions 338 to 795 of the family's 1533-position model. The record is from RNAcentral.